RNAcentral lists this non-coding RNA (950 nucleotides) under Triodon macropterus (threetooth puffer). Its description in RNAcentral is "12S rRNA". It matches the Rfam family "Bacterial small subunit ribosomal RNA". The record is from RNAcentral. Lineage: Eukaryota; Metazoa; Chordata; Actinopteri; Tetraodontiformes; Triodontidae.
CAAAGGUUUGGUCCUGACUUUACUAACAACUCUAGCUAAAUUUACACAUGCAAGUAUCCGCACCCCCGUGAGAAUGCCCCACAGUUCCCCGCCCGGGAACAAGGAGCUGGUAUCAGGCACACAUUUUUGAAGCCCAAGACACCUUGCUUAGCCACACCCUCAAGGGAGUUCAGCAGUGAUAAACAUUAAGCCAUAAGUGAAAACUUGACUUAGUUAAAGCUAAGAGGGCCGGUAAAACUCGUGCCAGCCACCGCGGUUAUACGAGAGACCCAAGUUGUUAGUUAUCGGCGUAAAGCGUGGUUAAGAUAUUUUACCUAGACUAAAGCCGAACAUCUUCAAGGCUGUUAUACGCACCCGAAGACAAGAAGAUCAAUAACGAAAGUGGCUUUAUCCCAUCUGAACCCACGAAAGCUAUGGUACAAACUGGGAUUAGAUACCCCACUAUGCCUAGCCCUAAACAUUGACAGUAUUUUACACCCACUGUCCGCCCGGGUACUACGAGCAUUAGCUUAAAACCCAAAGGACUUGGCGGUGCUUUAGAUCCACCUAGAGGAGCCUGUUCUAGAACCGAUAACCCCCGUUUAACCUCACCCUUCCUUGUUUUUCCCGCCUAUAUACCACCGUCGUCAGCUUACCCUGUGAAGGCCCAAUAGUAAGCAAAAUUGGCACAGCCCAAAACGUCAGGUCGAGGUGUAGCGCAUGGAGGGGGAAGAAAUGGGCUACAUUCCCUGAUACAGUGAAUACGAACGAUACACUGAAAUACGUAUCUGAAGGAGGAUUUAGCAGUAAGCAGAAAAUAGAGUGUUCCGCUGAAAUUGGCCCUGAAGCGCGCACACACCGCCCGUCACUCUCCCCAAGCCCCAUAAAAUAAAAUAACUAAAACCCUACAACUGCAAAGGGGAGGCAAGUCGUAACAUGGUAAGUGUACCGGAAGGUGCACUUGGAAAAAU